GUGAAUUAUUAAUUUACUUUGUUUUUCCACGGCCAACUCACCUAUUCUAAGCCACAGCCACCUGGCACCUUCAAUUUGAAAUUUAUAAGGCAUAAGCUAUAUGUUCCUCAUAGAAAGAGUAAAAGUUAUAGCCAUAACAAGAUUGGCUUUCAGGUAUGCCAUUUAAAAGCUGUGUAACAGCGUUGGACAAAUUACUUAACAUCUCUGAAACUCAAUUUUCUCUUUUAUUAAAGAAAGAAAAUCAGCAACAAAACUGUGCAGGAUUGUAGUGAGUGAAUAUAAAGUAUGUGAUAUCUGGAACAUAAAAGUUCUCAGUAAAUCACGAUUAAUAAACACUAACAAAUAAUGAUCAGCCCAAACCAACAGAUCCUCUCCUUUGGCUGUAAGGAAAUAUGACUCAAGCAGCUCUUUCCUUCCAAUCCGCCUUCCCACUUUCACAGGCCACACUGCAGCGAGCAUCUAGAAGGCUCUCUGCCAACAGCAGCGCCGGUUCGUUAUCUAACUGAGUCUUGGUCAUUAAGCAAAGUCAGGGUCUUUGUUACUUGGUUUCAUCCCCACUGGCCUUGCAGAGAAAGCCCAAGCCACAGGGUACGUCUCCGCCUGCCAAUGCCCUGUAUUCCUGAAACAAAAAGGCAAUAAAAAACACGACAGUUAGUGUCAGACGCGGAGCCCCGGUUUGGGAGUGGGCGGGGAGGGCUCCCUUUUCUCCUUGUUCCGCAGCACCUGUCACGGAGACGGGAGAUGGGGCCCGGCCCGGCCUGGGCAGCGCGGCUUCCUCCUGCCCCCGCCGCGCUCCCUCCCGAGCGGCUCGGGUCCGGGCUCCCAGCAACGCGGCGGUGCGGCCGGCGCUGCGACUAGAAAGCGCCCAUUGAGGGCUUGCAGCUGCCAGUGCCGCUUGCCCAAAUCCGACAUAAAGCCUGGACUUCAGCUCCAGUGAAGAAGACACUACUGUGUUCUUCCUGAGCCCCAGUCACGGCUAUAAAACAUUAAAAGCAAACUGGCGAUUGUUAAACACUGCAUUUGUUUACACCCCGAUUCUUGAAUCACAAUGGGGCAGCUUAGGCCGCCAAGGCCCGGCGAGGCCCGGCUUUCUCCUGGACACUGGAGUCUGUUCUCCGACCCAAGGGACACAAGAAAAAAUUUUACUAUUGUUGCCCAGGCUGGAGUACAGUGACAUGAUCUUGGCUCACUGCAACCUCUGCCUCCCAGUUCAAGCAAAUCUCCUGCCUCAACCUCGCAAGUAG
RNAcentral lists this long non-coding RNA (1244 nucleotides) under Callithrix jacchus (white-tufted-ear marmoset). Its description in RNAcentral is "lncRNA (ENSCJAG00000060086.2)". The record is from RNAcentral. Lineage: Eukaryota; Metazoa; Chordata; Mammalia; Primates; Cebidae.